Long non-coding RNA from Bos taurus (domestic cattle), 1700 nucleotides. The record is from Ensembl. Lineage: Eukaryota; Metazoa; Chordata; Mammalia; Artiodactyla; Bovidae.
CAACCCCAUCCCGCGGCCCUGGCAGCCCGGGAAACCCCCUCCCUCUGCAGCUUCUGGAGCCUGCCUGGACCACCCGCGCCUGGGAGAGCCCCGUGUGGGCCUAGCCGUGGAGUCCAGGGCCCGGUCCGGGGAAAGUGGGCAUCCGGACCCCCGAGACAAACUGCACGGUCCUCACCCACGAGUGUAGCCUUGGGGACGAGCCUCAGUCACGUCUUCCAAAAGGGGCUGGCUCCGUCCUGACGAAGUCACCACCAAAGGGCCUGUGUUGGGCUAAUAACAUGGCCAGACCUGUGUAAGUGAUGCUCAGCUAAGGACCUCACCACCUAACACUUUAGAAAACCCUAAGAAAGGGCUCCUGGUUUCUCUGCCAAACACCAGCCUUCUGGAGCCCAAGGCCUGGAGGACAGCAGAAGAGAGACAGUUUUCUAUGAGUAAGGGGCCCAGGAGGAAGGUCACCUCCACUCCACCCAGCGUCCUAAGCCAGAGAAGACCCAGGUUGUCAAGUGACUCAGGCUCCAGGACCCAGCCACAAACAGUCCUGUGCAGGCAGAAGCCUCACUCUGGCUCACAGCAGGGGACAAAACACAAAUCCCUGCCCCUCUCUCAGCCCCCAGGGAGCUGAAAGAAUGUGCCUGCAUGCGAGGAGGUGAAAGUGUAGGCAGAUCUGGGGGUGUGCAGGUGAGGAGAGAAGCAUCCAGUCGUGGACCACAGGGUAUACACGGUGAGAUGAUGACCACAGUAAGGUUGCCUAACACACUCAUCGGUCACCUAGUUACGUGUGUGUGUGUGGUGAGAACACAUACGAUAUGCUCUCCUAGCAACUUGCAGAUAUGUGCCCAGAAGUGAGAUUGCUGGAUCAUGUCGCUAAGUCGUGUCCGACUCUUUGCAUCCCCAUGGACUGCAGCACAUCAGGCCCCCCUGUCCUUCACUGUCUCCUGGAGUUUGCUCACAUUCAUGUCCAAAGAGUCCGUGAUGCCAUCUAACCAUCUCAUCCUUUCUGAUGCUGAAGCUGAAGCUCCAAUACUCUGGCCACCUGAUACAAAGAGCUGACUCAUUAGAAAAGACCCUGAUGCUGGGAAAGAUCGAUGACAACAGGAGGAGGCGGCGGCAGAGGAUAAGUCCCUUGUUUCCCAUCUUAAAAGGAGGGACUGCCGUGGCAGCCCAGUGGUUGCAACUCUGCUCUUCCCCUGUUGCGGGGGUCUGUGCAGGUUCCGUCCCUGAUUGGGAAACAGAUCCCACAUGCUGAGCCACCAAAACAAAAUAAGGAAUUUCUUUAAAAAAAACAACAGGAAAGCUCUCAGCCUUUCACCACGAUGACGUUACCUGUGAUUGUCAUAUAUGCCCUGUAUUAUGUUAACUUAAAUUCUUUCUAUACCAAAUGUGUGGAGACUUUGACAUAAAAGUAUGUUGAAUUUUGUCAAAUUCAUUUUUUGUGUGCAUGUAUGGAGAUACUCGUGUAAUUUUACCUUUUACUAUUAAUGUGUUUUAUCACAUUUCUCUGUUUACAUAUUUUGAACCAUCCUGCAUCCCAGGGAUGAAUCCCACUUGAUUGUGGGGUAUGAUCCUUUAAUGUGCUAUUGUUAGUCCCCUGUUGAGAAUCUCUAUAUCCAUAUUCUUCACAGAUAUAAGUCUAUAGUUUUCUUUUCUUGCAGUGCCCUUAUUCAGCUUUGUUACCAAGAUAAUAAUGUUGGCCUUGUGAA